CAGUCGCCGCGGUAACACAGAGGGUGCGAGCGUUAAUCGGAUUUACUGGGCGUAAAGCGUGCGUAGGCGGCUUCUUAAGUCGGAUGUGAAAUCCCUGAGCUUAACUUAGGAAUUGCAUUCGAUACUGGGAAGCUAGAGUAUGGGAGAGGAUGGUAGAAUUCCAGGUGUAGCGGUGAAAUGCGUAGAGAUCUGGAGGAAUACCGAUGGCGAAGGCAGCCAUCUGGCCUAAUACUGACGCUGAGGUACGAAAGCAUGGGGAGCAAACAGGAUUAGAUACCCCUAGUCCCUGUCUCUUAUACAC
Molecule: ribosomal RNA, 301 nt
Filed under: uncultured bacterium
Lineage: Bacteria
Description: partial 16S ribosomal RNA
Rfam family: Bacterial small subunit ribosomal RNA
Source: RNAcentral